GCCUGGGUGACUCAGUCGGUUAAGCAUCUGACUUUGGCUCAGGUCAUGAUCUUGGAGUUCGUGGGUUCAAGCCCCGCAUCAGGCU
Molecule: transfer RNA, 85 nt
Filed under: Felis catus (domestic cat)
Lineage: Eukaryota; Metazoa; Chordata; Mammalia; Carnivora; Felidae
Rfam family: tRNA
About the family: Transfer RNA (tRNA) molecules are approximately 80 nucleotides in length. Their secondary structure includes four short double-helical elements and three loops (D, anti-codon, and T loops). Further hydrogen bonds mediate the characteristic L-shaped molecular structure. tRNAs have two regions of fundamental functional importance: the anti-codon, which is responsible for specific mRNA codon recognition, and the 3' end, to which the tRNAs corresponding amino acid is attached (by aminoacyl-tRNA synthetases). tRNAs cope with the degeneracy of the genetic code in two manners: having more than one tRNA (with a specific anti-codon) for a particular amino acid; and 'wobble' base-pairing, i.e. permitting non-standard base-pairing at the 3rd anti-codon position.
Source: Rfam by way of RNAcentral